Molecule: ribosomal RNA, 141 nt
Filed under: uncultured eukaryote
Lineage: Eukaryota
Description: partial 18S ribosomal RNA
Rfam family: Eukaryotic small subunit ribosomal RNA
Source: RNAcentral
UGGUGGAGUGAUUUGUCUGGUUAAUUCCGUUAACGAACGAGACCCCUGCCUGCUAAAUAGUCCGGUGAGUGAAUUUCACUGAUUGGGACUUCUUAGAGGGACGUGCAUUCUAUUAGAUGCAGGAAGAUAGGGGCAAUAACA